GACGAACGCUGGCGGCGUGCUUAACACAUGCAAGUCGAACGGAAAGGCCCUGCUUGCAGGGUACUCGAGUGGCGAACGGGUGAGUAACACGUGGGUGAUCUGCCCUGCACUUCGGGAUAAGCCUGGGAAACUGGGUCUAAUACCGGAUAGGAGCCAUUUUUAGUGUGAUGGUUGGAAAGUUUUUUCGGUGUAGGAUGAGCUCGCGGCCUAUCAGCUUGUUGGUGGGGUAAUGGCCUACCAAGGCGGCGACGGGUAGCCGGCCUGAGGGGGUGGACGGCCACAUUGGGACUGAGAUACGGCCCAGACUCCUACGGGAGGCAGCAGUGGGGAAUAUUGCACAAUGGGCGCAAGCCUGAUGCAGCGACGCCGCGGGGGGGAUGACGGCCUUCGGGUUGUAAACUCCUUUCGCUAGGGACGAAGCUUUUUGUGACGGUACCUAGAUAAGAAGCACCGGCUAACUACGUG
Molecule: ribosomal RNA, 465 nt
Filed under: uncultured bacterium
Lineage: Bacteria
Description: partial 16S ribosomal RNA
Rfam family: Bacterial small subunit ribosomal RNA
Source: RNAcentral